AAUGGUAGGGAAUGAGAAGGAAAAACUAUUCCUUGUGAAUGGUGAUUUUUUUCAGGAACAUUAAGGAAUGGAUAAUUCCUCUCCGUUCCUUCGUCACCAUUCAUACCCUUAGUAUUAUAGAGCAACCUUCAAACAUUAGGUUAAAAAGUAGGUCAUAUCGAAAUAUUGGAAAUAAAAUAUAUUCCAUGUACGUUAAGAGUUGUGAAACAAUGGAAAAUAGGACAAUCAAUCUUAUUAUCAAUAACAAUAAGAUCGAGAUUACGGGACAUAUAAUAUUGUGUUCCCAUAGUUUUAUAACUCCAAAAACAAUAAUAAUAUUUCCAAACUGGUUUUACUUGGUACGAACGCACGAUCUUAAUUAUGAAUAUAUAUUAUUUCAAAUUUCCCGGUAACUUAUUGAAUGGUUGCGUAAUCUCCAAGUCAAAUGCGAAC
This 432-nucleotide long non-coding RNA is filed under the name Brassica napus (rape). Its description in RNAcentral is "long non-coding RNA (BNAP_LNC021160)". The record is from RNAcentral. Lineage: Eukaryota; Viridiplantae; Streptophyta; Magnoliopsida; Brassicales; Brassicaceae.